Molecule: long non-coding RNA, 1078 nt
Organism: Amblyraja radiata (thorny skate)
Lineage: Eukaryota; Metazoa; Chordata; Chondrichthyes; Rajiformes; Rajidae
Exons: 3
Source: RefSeq, a predicted model, not a curated record
UUAUAUUUAUCAUGCACUGUUAUAACUGAUUACGAUCGAUUUGACUGGAUGGUGAAUGACAUCGCAACGGAAGUAACGGUUUUGUCAAGCGAUGAGUGGCUGGGAGUCCUGUCAAUAACAAUCUUGUUUGCUGAUUGCUCUGGAGAUCUUUGCACACAAAAUGCUGGAGUAACUCAGCGGGGCAGGCAGCAUCUUUGGAGAGCAGGAAUGGGUGACGUUUCGGGUCGAGACUCUUCUUCAGGCUGACAGUCAGAGGAGAGGGAGACAGAGAGAUAUGUGGAUGGGUGUCCCUCAGGAUCAAGGAUGACCUGCUUCUACUGCACUUCUGUGAGAUUGUGACUGAUGUGGCCAAUUAUGGACCUGCAGACUCUGUCACAAGUGGACUCGAUAAGAAGAAGAAGCACUAAAUGAGAAGUAUUGAAUGCGACAUUCCAACAUCUGAAGAAGUUCAGAAAAACCUCUGAAGGUCUGAAGACCCAAAACGUCACCCAUUCCUUCUCUCCAGAGAUGCUGCCUGGCCUGCUGAGUUACUCCUGCAUUUUGCGUCUAUCUUUGGUUUAAACCAGCAUCUGCAGUUUCUUCCUACACAUUCCAACAUGUUUCAUGAUCGAUGUAUAUUUCUUCCAACCUCAUCAUUGGAUUUGUUGCUCUCGAUGUGGCCUCCUCUAGUUCGGCGAGACCAAGUGUAGACGAGGUGACCGUUUUGUGUGGGACACCUGCGUUCCGUGCGCAAUUGCUAGAUUCAGCUUCUCAUUGUGGGAAUAACAUUUCAACACUCCUCCCUGCUCCCACGCUGACCUGUCCAUCCUCAGCAUUUUCUGCUGUCACGGUAAGGCCAAACAAAAAGUAGAAGAAAACACUGCAUAUUCCACUUGGGUAGCCUCCAACAUUGAAUUUUCUAAUUUUACGUAACUCACAAUCCCUGUGUUCUUUUCUCAUUCCAACAGAUCCACCUAAGUUUCAUCUCUCUCUUUGUUCUUCUUUUCCUAUCCCCAGUCCCCAUGUUACCUGGAUUUGUUACGCUCCCCCUUCUAGCUCCACCAUGGUGCCUGUCAGCUGCUGGAGCUGCUGCCUCACA